Molecule: ribosomal RNA, 1351 nt
Filed under: metagenome
Description: bacterial LSU rRNA
Rfam family: Bacterial large subunit ribosomal RNA
Source: RNAcentral
CGAGUCCGGCAAGCUACGGCUUGUCAGUGAUGGCGAUCAUACUUCCCAGAAAAGCCCGGACUAUCGUAAAUUCUAAAUACUUGUACCCGAAACCGACACAGGUGGGGAGGUUGAGAAAACUAAGGGGCGCGAGAUAACUCUCUCUAAGGAACUCGGCAAAAUGACCCCGUAACUUCGGGAGAAGGGGUGCCACCGCAAGGUGGUCGCAGUAAAGAGGCCCAGGCGACUGUUUACCAAAAACACAGGUCUCCGCCAAGUCGCAAGACGCAGUAUGGGGGCUGACGCCUGCCCAGUGCCGGAAGGUUAAGGAAGUUGGUCAGGUGUAAUCUAAAGCUGACGACUGAAGCCCCGGUGAACGGCGGCCGUAACUAUAACGGUCCUAAGGUAGCGAAAUUCCUUGUCGGGUAAGUUCCGACCCGCACGAAAGGCGUAACGAUCUGGGCACUGUCUCGGAGAGAGACUCGGCGAAAUAGGAUUGUCUGUGAAGAUACGGACUACCUGCACCUGGACAGAAAGACCCUAUGAAGCUUUACUGUAGCCUGGAAUUGGCUUCGGGCUUCGCUUGCGCAGGAUAGGUGGGAGGCGUUGACAUUCCCCUUGUGGGGGGAAUUGAGCCAACGGUGAGAUACCACUCUAGCGAGGCUAGAAGUCUAACUUUCGCCCAUUAUCUGGGGAAAGAACAGUUUCAGGUGGGCAGUUUGACUGGGGCGGUCGCCUCCUAAAUGGUAACGGAGGCGUACAAAGGUUUCCUCAGGCUGGUUGGAAAUCAGCCAUAGAGUGCAAAAGCAGAAGGAAGCUUGACUGCGAGACCUACAAGUCGAGCAGGGACGAAAGUCGGUUUUAGUGAUCCGACGGCGCCGCGUGGAAGGGCCGUCGCUCAACGGAUAAAAGUUACUCUAGGAUAACAGGCUGAUCUCCCCCAAGAGUCCACAUCGACGGGGAGGUUUGGCACCUCGAUGUCGGCUCAUCGCAACCUGGGGCGGAAGUACGUCCCAAGGGUUGGGCUGUUCGCCCAUUAAAGCGGUACGUGAGCUGGGUUCAGAACGUCGUGAGACAGUUCGGUCCAUAUCCGGUGCAGGCGCAAGAGCAUUGAGAGGAGCCUUCCUUAGUACGAGAGGACCGGGAAGGACGCACCACUGGUGUACCUGUUAUCGUGCCAACGGUAGACGCAGGGUAGCCAAGUGCGGAGUGGAUAACCGCUGAAAGCAUCUAAGUGGGAAGCCCACCUCAAGAUGAUUGCUCUCACAGGGUUAACCUGGUAAGGUCACGGGCAGAACACCCGUUAUUAGGCACUAGGUGGAAGUUCAGCAAUGAAUGUAGCCAAGGUGUACUAACAGACCGAGGGCUUGAU